This 253-nucleotide ribosomal RNA is filed under the name uncultured bacterium. RNAcentral's name for it is "partial 16S ribosomal RNA". It matches the Rfam family "Bacterial small subunit ribosomal RNA", at positions 524 to 776 of the family's 1533-position model. The record is from RNAcentral.
UACAGAGGGUGCAAGCGUCAAUCGGAAUUACUGGGCGUAAAGGGUGCGUAGGUGGAUAUUUAAGUUAUAUGUGAAAGCCCUGGGCUUAACCUGGGAACGGCAUAUGAGACUGGAUGACUAGAGUCGUGUAGAGGGAAGUGGAAUUUCCGGUGUAGCGGUGAAAUGCGUAGAUAUCGGAAGGAACACCGGUGGCGAAGGCGGCUUCCUGGACACAGACUGACACUGAAGCACGAAAGCGUGGGUAGCAAACAAG